Molecule: ribosomal RNA, 393 nt
Filed under: uncultured bacterium
Lineage: Bacteria
Description: partial 16S ribosomal RNA
Rfam family: Bacterial small subunit ribosomal RNA
Source: RNAcentral
AUACGGAGGACGCGAGCGUUAUCCGGAUUCAUUGGGUUUAAAGGGUGCGCAGGCGGCCGUGCAAGUCAGCGGUGAAAGCCCGGGGCUCAACCCCGGAAGUGCCGUUGAUACUGCAUGGCUGGAAUGCGGUCGAGGCGGGCGGAACGGGGCGUGUAGCGGUGAAAUGCGUAGAUAUGCCACAGAACGCCGAUAGCGGAGGCAGCUCGCCAGGCCUGCAUUGACGCUCGGGCACGAAAGCGUGGGGAUCGAACAGGAUUAGAUACCCUGGUAGUCCACGCCGUAAACGAUGGGCGCUCGUCGUCGGCGGCAGACAGUCGGCGGCCAAGCGAAAGCGAUAAGCGCCCCACCUGGGGAGUACGGUCGCAAGGCUGAAACUUAAAGGAAUUGACGGGG